UUGAACGCUGGCGGCAUGCCUUACACAUGCAAGUCGAACGGCAGCACGGGGGCAACCCUGGUGGCGAGUGGCGAACGGGUGAGUAAUACAUCGGAACGUGUCCUGUAGUGGGGGAUAGCCCGGCGAAAGCCGGAUUAAUACCGCAUACGCUCUGCGGAGGAAAGCGGGGGAUCCUUCGGGACCUCGCGCUACAGGGGCGGCCGAUGGCAGAUUAGCUAGUUGGUGGGGUAAAGGCCUACCAAGGCGACGAUCUGUAGCUG
This 260-nucleotide ribosomal RNA is filed under the name Burkholderia sp. ISO196_OTU134. RNAcentral describes it as "partial 16S ribosomal RNA". It matches the Rfam family "Bacterial small subunit ribosomal RNA", at positions 30 to 289 of the family's 1533-position model. The record is from RNAcentral. RNAcentral also lists the same sequence under 3 other names. Lineage: Bacteria; Pseudomonadati; Pseudomonadota; Betaproteobacteria; Burkholderiales; Burkholderiaceae.